UUUCCGGUUGAUCCUGCCGGACCUGACUGCUAUCGGAUUGAUACUAAGCCAUGCGAGUCUUUGUAGUAAUACAAGGCAGACGGCUCAGUAACACGUAGUCAACCUACCCUAUGGACAAGAAUAAUCUCGGGAAACUGGGCAUAAUUCUUGAUAGAUCAUAAUGCCUGGAAUGGUUUAUGGUUAAAAUGAUUCGUCGCCAUAGGAUGGGACUGCGGCCUAUCAGCUUGUUGGUGAGGUAAUGGCCCACCAAGGCGAUUACAGGUACGGGCUCUGAGAGGAGAAGCCCGGAGAUGGGUACUGAGACACGGACCCAGGCCCUAUGGGGCGCAGCAGGCGAGAAAACUUUGCAAUGUGCGAAAGCACGACAAGGUUAAUCCGAGUGAUUUCUGCUAAAGAAAUCUUUUGCCAGUCAUAAAACCACUGGUGAAUAAGGGGUGGGCAAGUUCUGGUGUCAGCCGCCGCGGUAAAACCAGCACCUCAAGUGAUCAGGAUGAUUAUUGGGCCUAAAGCAUCCGUAGCCGGCUUUGUUAGUUUUCGGUUAAAUCCAUGUGCUCAACGCAUGGGCUGCCGAAAAUACUGCAUGGCUAGGGAGUGGGAGAGGUAGACGGUACUCAGUAGGAAGGGGUAAAAUCCUUUGAUCUAUUGAUGACCACCUGUGGCGAAGGCGGUCUACCAGAACACGUUCGACGGUGAGGGAUGAAAGCUGGGGGAGCAAACCGGAUUAGAUACCCGGGUAGUCCCAGCUGUAAACGAUGCAGACUCGAUGAUGCAUUGGCAUAAUAGCCAGUGCAGUGUCGCAGGGAAGCCGUUAAGUCUGCCGCCUGGGAAGUACGUACGCAAGUAUGAAACUUAAAGGAAUUGGCGGGGGAGCACCACAAGGGGUGAAGCCUGCGGUUCAAUUGGAGUCAACGCCGGG
Molecule: ribosomal RNA, 916 nt
Filed under: uncultured archaeon
Lineage: Archaea
Description: SSU rRNA
Rfam family: Archaeal small subunit ribosomal RNA
Source: RNAcentral